RNAcentral lists this transfer RNA (72 nucleotides) under Lepocinclis tripteris. RNAcentral's name for it is "tRNA-Gln". It matches the Rfam family "tRNA". Rfam says of the family: Transfer RNA (tRNA) molecules are approximately 80 nucleotides in length. Their secondary structure includes four short double-helical elements and three loops (D, anti-codon, and T loops). The record is from RNAcentral. Lineage: Eukaryota; Euglenozoa; Euglenophyceae; Euglenales; Phacaceae.
UGGGGUGUAGCCAAGUGGUAAGGCAACGGGUUUUGGCCCUGUGAUACGUAGGUUCGAAUCCUCCCACCUCAG